Molecule: long non-coding RNA, 3748 nt
Organism: Macaca fascicularis (crab-eating macaque)
Lineage: Eukaryota; Metazoa; Chordata; Mammalia; Primates; Cercopithecidae
Source: Ensembl
AUGUUCUUGGUUUCCCUGCCUUCUGAUUUCUGUGGAUUUUCACUCCUUCCGGGAGCCAGUGGUCAAACACCAUUUCACUGUGACCAACAGGUGCACACUCUGAGCCCCAAGGGAAGGGGCUGCGCUCCACCUCCCUGCCCCGGUUGUUCUGUGUAUGUCCCUACAAGAAUACUCACCUCUUGCCUUCAGGUGGCAUUUUUCAACGACGCUGGAGCCAGUGCCCAGGAAGAGCAAAGGGUGUGCUGCCAGCCCCUGGCUCACCCAGUGGCUUCAUCCCAGAGGACCCCAGGGACUGGGGAUCUUCGUGGCUGAGCCUCACUGACAGCGUGGAGCCUGCACCAGGAGAGGCCAGAGAGGGUUCUCCCCACCACAACCCCACGGCACAGCAGAUCGUGCAGCUGCUUCCUCUAACGCAGGACUCUCCAGGAGCACCGAGGCUUGGGCAGCAACCCCUGCAUGCCAUUCUUUUCACCGUGCCGAGAUCAGGCAGAUAAACAUCACCAUCAUCUAAGAGCUGGUCAAGAAAUUUAAAAACAAACAAACAAAAAAAGUUUAGGGGUUAAUCUCCUACACAAUUCAUUUACUUCAUUUGAAUAUUAGAGCCACUCAUGUUUAUUUGUGUUUCUAACUUAGUUUAAAUUUAUUUGUAAAAAUUACAGAAGAGUGGGUCUUUCCCUCAUGUUCACUAUGGCAUCCUUUAGCAUUUUUCUUUUUAUUUGAUAACUGUAGGUCAUUAGCACGCAUAUCGAAUUUGCCCUAUGUGUUGGGAGUUCAAACACGCAAAGACCCACUAUAUGCACAAAACUGUUCUUGCUGGUUUGGAAUAGGCUGCCAUGAUUUUUUAAUGUUAUUGCAGCAUGUAUAUUCAUUACGGAAUUCAGAUAAAAUUUGCCUAUGUUCUGCUAGUAUGCUUGAUUGACUCCUAAUCACAGUGAGCUCUUCAUUAGCUCAAUAUGUGGUUUGCCCUCAAGUGCGCUGUUUAUUAGUUUGUAAUGUGCCACUGUGAGUAGUGACAUUUACAGUUGUUUAAAGAUGGAACACUGGAGAGAGCCUUUCUCCCUUUUUCUGUGUAUUGGCGAUGGUAUUAACAUUUUGGGAGAUUUUAAAUCUCCCAAAGGAGGAAAGUGGCCUGCUCUGGCAGAUGUGUGCAGGAUAGAAUACGUUUCAUUUGUUUUGGAGCCAAGAAUGAGUGCGUUACUAUGGUACUCCCCUUAGGAUUUGUAUGUGCUCUGGACUCCUGAAGAUAUUACUCCUUUUUGAUAACCUAAAAAGGGAUUGUACCACUGUUAAUUAGCCAAAUUAUUUGGUCUAACAGUUUUUCUUUAUCAUUCUGAAACUGGGUUUUUCUAAUACAUUGAUAAAUUAUUUCAAAGGUAUUUUGAUAGUUCAAAUCACUUCACUUUUACCCUGACACAUAUGAAUGUCUAGGAAUGACCUUCAGAUAGCGUUUAGCAUCUGUAACCUAUCUGACAAUAAUGUGUUCAUCAGGUACCUAUGGAUUAAACCACAUACCGGCAUAUUUAAGCUGAAUGUCAGUUUGAAAAAUAAAUGUGCUAUAUUACCUGAAAUACUACUCUUUGUGUAGGUAUUUUGUCAUAAGUUUAAGAAAAAGCUAAAAAGAUGGAAAUCCUAUAACAAUAACUUAAGUCUUUCUUCUAAGUGCAUGCAGUCAUUUGCAAUACCUCAUUCAGCCAAGUAUUUGUUCUCUUCCUCAUUCAGUAUAAGGCAGCUUUCAAUUUGCUUAGAAGGCGACAUUAGAAGGUUAGAGUUCAGCAGAAACAUAGAAUUUUAAAGUGUGAGUUCAACUGAAUAAAUUUGAACUUCUGUAGGAAGUAAAGAAUCAAAAUGCCUAUUGAAAGACUGCAAUAUAUGAAAAUUAUUUUUAAAGUGUUUGAUUAAACCUGAUAGGUUUUCCCAAAAUGAAAAAACUCAGUUCUAAAACCAAAGCUGCUUUCUACAAAACAUGAAAAUGUAAAUCACCCCAUCCAUAAUAGCUUCUCUAAAACUUUAUCUUACAGUCACUUUCAAAUAACUAUUCAAAAAUGUAACUGCUGUAUUAAUGUCUUGAAAUAAGUUAAAACAUUUUAAAAUAUGAACACCAUAGUUUAAAGGAAAGAAUCUAGGGGAAGGAAAAGUAGAGAAAGAAAUGCCAGUUCCAGUCCAAAGCUUUAUUUGCCAAGUUUUCUUAGACUUACUUUUACCAACUUAUGAUUUCUUGUAAACAGAAUGUAUAAUAGAAAUACUGACUUUUGUCUAACGUGGCAUUCUUGACUGCUUCUGUGAUGCUACUAUAAUGUAAUAAAUUAUGAAAUUCUUGCAAGGUGCUGUUUUUGCCUUAAAAUUUUGUGUGUCUUGAAAAUUCUAGUAUUAAAGGCAUUGAGACUGUGCAAAUGCCGGGAACAUUGGCAUGAGAUAAUCAGUUUUUAUUCUCACAAAAUUGUAACUAUGUAAGUGUGUUUAUUAAAAGAACAUAAACUAAAAAGGUUACAGGAAUUAAAAGUUGUGGAAUGAAAAAGUUACGGGAUAAAAAAUACGGUGGAAAAGUUGUGGCAAAAAAGUUGUGAAAAAAAGUAAAAAAAAAAAGUUUUAUGCAAAGUUUUUUUAAAAAGUUAUGAAAAAGAAGUUACUGGAUUUGAAAAAAAAAUCAUGGAAUAAAAAUAAAUAAAAGCAGGCCCCUGUCAGCAUAAGCCUGGGGAAGUGGGUCUGCAGUCUUCGCCCACACUAUGUCCCUACAACCCCUUCCCAGUCACCCCUUUACCAUUAGGUAGCAACACAAGACCCCUGUCUAAUGGAGGGAGAAAAACAGACCCUUUACCACCUUGACCAAGGCUAAGUCUUUACAUUUCUGGAUGAUGAUGUUUGUUAUUUAAGAGCCAGAGGUUGAUGGAGUUGGUUUGUUUGGAGGAGGUGUGAUGGCCUCCUUACUUUUCCCUCAGGGGGGCUCCCAUCUUCUUACUCAGAGAGGCAUCUGAGGUGGGACAGUGGAGCUAACUGUAGACCAGGCGAGGGCACGGGCUGCUAGGGGUGACCCGCCCUUCCCCCAUGUACAUACUGUAUCUGUGUAACAUUCUGUAUGUAUUGUACCUAGUGGAGGUUGCAGCCGGCAUAUGAAGAAGAGGUUCUGAUAGUUAUUUGCAGCUGGGAAACUUAUUUAUUGCUAGCAUAGGAGUGAGGAAGGAGGCGGGGAUGGAGUCAUGGCUCCCUAGUGAUGGGACUCCCGUUUUCUUGUUUUUUAUUUGGGAAUAAAUGGAUUUAGCCAUACUGCUCAGCCUGGUAUGUUCCCGUUUCCCUCAGUGGGUCCUGCAGUUUGUCCCAUUGAAGGAGGAGCCCCAGAGCGUGUGAGCAUGUCCAGUUGGGCUGCUGGGAAUCUUCCAGGCCUGUUGCCUGUAUGCUGCCUGGUGACACCUGGUAGAUUUCACGGGGACUGCCAUGACGCCUAAUGGGCACAGUGCAGCCCUGACGGCCAACAGGUUCAGAAGACUGAUCUAGCUGUGGCCAGGAAGACAGAUACCAGCACUGACUUUCACCCACCCCAGGUGUCUUCCAUUCCAUCCUCCUGCCUCCUUCUCCUGUCUGCACCAGGUGGGCUGUCUGUCCAGAGUGCCUGCUGCCCCGCAGGCUCCCCCCAGGCUGAGUUCACGGCCCUGCCCCCUAGUGGCCAGAGCCGGCGUCACAGGAUAAGAGCCAGCUAAGCUCCAGGGACUUUCCAGGAAAAGCGUCCCUUGGAAAGGGUAUGACCUUUUCACCG